CAUUCUAAAAAGACAUGUCACAAAAUGAAAAUGGCAUCUUCAGUGAGAAGGUUCCAGCAGCAGAUGGAUUGGAAGCACCCUUCUUUGUCUGCUGAGACCUGGAGAGCUACAACUGAUCAGAGCAGACAAAAUUGGACUAGGGUAACGCCAUCCUCUGAAAAUCCCACUGGCUCUAAUUGUAGUAUAAGCCAAGGAAAGCCUUCUCUAAGAAGAAUAAAAGGGAGAAUACAUAGAAGCAAAAGCCUCGAUAGCCUUGAUUUCUGUGAGUUCAAUGAAAAGAAGACGAUGGCUCUGGCACACGCACAAAUGACCAAGAAAGCACAAAACACACCAAAUUGAGCUCCGUCAUUCCCCAUCUUUUGUUCUUCACACCAGUCACACGUCUGUGUUCUGUGAUUUUCUUCCAGCCACCUUAACAUAUAAACAUCUGCUUAGCUCCAAACCACCUUCUAUUUCUGUAAUGAUGGGGUUGAAGUCUGCAUGCAGCACAAAUAAUGGUAAUUAUUAUAUAGCUUUCCUGGGAAGAGUAAUUUCAUUCUUGCUUUGGGGUGACUUUUUGGGGAAAGGGAUUUGGCAUAGGAGUCUCCUUUAAUUCCAAGUAUACUAAGCCAUUCUUAAUUUUACAGCCGGUGUUGUUUAAAAUUAAACAUGUUUAAAGGCUUCAUAAUGUAUUAAUAAAACAUGUCCUGAAUCUUCUUCCA
This is a non-coding RNA of Podarcis muralis (Common wall lizard), 701 nucleotides long. NCBI's taxonomy places the organism in Eukaryota, Metazoa, Chordata, Lepidosauria, Squamata, Lacertidae. The record is from RefSeq and is a predicted model, not a curated record.